RNAcentral lists this long non-coding RNA (210 nucleotides) under Elaeis guineensis (African oil palm). Its description in RNAcentral is "long non-coding RNA (EGUI_LNC005736)". Lineage: Eukaryota; Viridiplantae; Streptophyta; Magnoliopsida; Arecales; Arecaceae. The record is from RNAcentral.
ACCUGUUGAAUAUCAAAACUCAAAAAAGAUAAGGUGAAAUCCUUUAUCUUUUGAAGGUAUCUCUUCUUGUUUUCCUCUCAGGCCUCGUAUCUGCUCUUGAUUUGUCCAACUACCAAUUGAGAGUCGCUGAAGACCUUUAGACGUUGAGCUCCUGCUUCUUUCGUGACUUUUAUGCCAGCAUUCAGAGCUUCAUACUCUGCUUCAUUGUUG